RNAcentral lists this ribosomal RNA (468 nucleotides) under uncultured bacterium. Its description in RNAcentral is "partial 16S ribosomal RNA". It matches the Rfam family "Bacterial small subunit ribosomal RNA", at positions 28 to 507 of the family's 1533-position model. The record is from RNAcentral.
GACGAACGCUGGCGGCGUGCUUAACACAUGCAAGUCGAACGGAAAGGCCCUGCUUUUGUGGGGUGCUCGAGUGGCGAACGGGUGAGUAACACGUGAGUAACCUGCCCUUGACUUUGGGAUAACUUCAGGAAACUGGGGCUACUACCGGAUAGGAGCUCCUGCUGCAUGGUGGGGGUUGGAAAGUUUCGGCGGUUGGGGAUGGACUCGCGGCUUAUCAGCUUGUUGGUUGGGUAGUGGCUUACCAAGGCUUUGACGGGUAGCCGGCCUGAGAGGGUGACCGGGCACAUGGGGACUGAGAUACGGCCCAGACUCCUACAGGAGGCAGCAGUGGGGAGUAUUGCACAAUGGGCGGAAGCCUGAUGCAGAAACGCCGCGUGCGGGAUGACGGCCUUCGGGGUGUAAACCGCUUUCGCCUGUGACGAAGCGUGAGUGACGGUAAUGGGUAAAGAAGCACCGGCUAACUACGUG